CAGCCGCCACGGUAAGACAGAGGAUGCAAGCGUUAUCCGGAUUUAUUGGGCGUAAAGCGAGCGCAGGCGGUUAGAUAAGUCUGAAGUUAAAGGCUGUGGCUUAACCAUAGUACGCUUUGGAAACUGUUUAACUUGAGUGCAGAAGGGGAGAGUGGAAUUCCAUGUGUAGCGGUGAAAUGCGUAGAUAUAUGGAGGAACACCGGCGGCGAAAGCGGCUCUCUGGUCUGUAACUGACGCUGAGGCUCGAAAGCGUGGGGAGCAAACAGGAUUAGAUACCCCAGUAGUCCCUGUCUCUUAUACA
RNAcentral lists this ribosomal RNA (301 nucleotides) under uncultured bacterium. Its description in RNAcentral is "partial 16S ribosomal RNA". It matches the Rfam family "Bacterial small subunit ribosomal RNA", at positions 509 to 808 of the family's 1533-position model. The record is from RNAcentral.